Molecule: transfer-messenger RNA, 349 nt
Filed under: Candidatus Acutalibacter pullistercoris
Lineage: Bacteria; Bacillati; Bacillota; Clostridia; Eubacteriales; Acutalibacteraceae
Also listed under: 2 other names
Rfam family: transfer-messenger RNA
About the family: Bacterial tmRNA, also known as 10Sa RNA or SsrA, is named for its dual tRNA and mRNA-like properties. Its role is to liberate the mRNA from a stalled ribosome.
Source: RNAcentral
GGGGAUGUAAAGGUUUCGACGGGGGAGGGGAGCCCUGGUAAGCGAGCAGCGGCGCGGGACCGCUUUGCCACCCGCAACCUUAAAAUCAAACGACAACGAACCUGUUGCUGUUGCUGCCUAACUAAGGCGGCCGUUUCGUCCCGGAGUACCGCGGCCGGGAACGAAGCGUGGAUGAGCGGUGAACGUGAACGGGGCCACGCCCUUACCCCCGUCAUGACUUAAGGGCUACCAAAGCCAGAAGCCUGCUUUUGGGCGCCUGGCGGCGGGAAGCUUAAAGCAAAAGCUACGCUCGUAGAAAGCCCCGGUGACCCUCUUUCGGACGCGGGUUCGAUUCCCGCCAUCUCCACCA